Molecule: long non-coding RNA, 878 nt
Organism: Anthonomus grandis grandis
Lineage: Eukaryota; Metazoa; Arthropoda; Insecta; Coleoptera; Curculionidae
Exons: 2
Source: RefSeq, a predicted model, not a curated record
AUUAAACGGAUGCAUAGAAAAAUUACAAGACCAAAAUUAAUACAUGGUAUUGUGAUGACAAGCUAUGGAAAAACUUUUUUAUUAAUUUAUUUAUUUAAUAGACGGGAUCAACCCCAUUACAAAAAAAAAAUAUUACAAAGUUCAAUAGUUACACCUAACCAUAACUUAAAAUAGCUAAAAUACAAAUAUGUUUUUACAGGCAAACCAACAUAAAAUCAACAGAAGAGUUUACACAAUCUCUCUAAUUUGAUUCCUAAAACUAGACAAGCCAAUGCCCACAACUUCAAUAUCCUCAUGGUUGAUAAUAUUUAAGGUUGUUUCGAUAGGGGAGUGAGUGGCAUAGUUGGUACUGUGAAAAGGCAAAGCAAAUAGUCGGUUUCGUCUCAAGAGUCUUGAGGGGACAUUGAAGCUAAUUCUACCGAGAAGGUCGGGGCAUACAAUCAGACCAUUAAGAAGCUUAAAUACAAAGGUUAAAUCACCACGAAUACGUCUUUCUCUCAAUGUUGUCAUAGCCAGCACUUCCCGUGCAUCAUCAUAAACAUGAUCGUUCGGGCCAGACAGCUGUUCAUGUAAUAGGGGGACCAUAUCAUUGAGCCAUACUCCAAUAAAGAAACCAGCAAAGACAUGUACACUCUCUUACAGGUCUCGACUGAUAGCUCUCUACAGUUACGCAGAACAAAACCCAGAACCCUGGAGGACCUAACCACUAUAUUAUUUAUGUGUAUAUUAAAAUUUAAAUGAUCGUCAAAAUAAAUGCCAAGAUCCUUGAUUGUAUCAGAAUACUGAACAGGGCUUCCCUCUAUAUUGUAUGAUGUUACAACUUUUUUACUUCUUUUGUGAAAACUAAUAUAAUUACAUUUCUUUAUGUUUAAGAAUAA